AUGCGAUGCAUGCUAACCGGUGAGGCAGUGGGUGCCAUGGCAUUUCGUUUCGUGCCAACGAGGAUGGUGGAGGUUGGUUGCACCACAGAAGGCGAAGACGGGUGGGUGGUGGCCGAGGGUUGGACUGGGGUUGGGGAGCGGGACUACUGGGUUCAUGCGUGGUGCCUCCAUGCAGGCGUCAUCACAAGUUUCCGUGAGUACUUCAACACCUCCGUCACCGUCAGGGAGCUGGGUCGGCCCGCCAAGGAGGACGUGGUAUGGGCUGUGUGGGAAAGUCAAUCGCCCAAGACCAAGGGCCGCUCCAUGCCGGGCCUAGUGCUCGCGAUUUGA
RNAcentral lists this ribosomal RNA (330 nucleotides) under Triticum aestivum (bread wheat). RNAcentral describes it as "partial small subunit ribosomal RNA". The record is from RNAcentral. Lineage: Eukaryota; Viridiplantae; Streptophyta; Magnoliopsida; Poales; Poaceae.